This is a long non-coding RNA of Trematomus bernacchii (emerald rockcod), 203 nucleotides long. RefSeq lists it as uncharacterized. The transcript is spliced from 3 exons. The record is from RefSeq and is a predicted model, not a curated record. NCBI's taxonomy places the organism in Eukaryota, Metazoa, Chordata, Actinopteri, Perciformes, Nototheniidae.
GAGACACAUUUACUAUUGAAUUGCAGGAUCCAUCUUCUGAUGAUUUUAAAGGUCGGGCUACAUUGGUGAAGGAACAGCUUACACCUGUUUACCAAAACGCAUUCCCUUCGUCCUUCAAAUCACUAGAUGUUGUUUCAUUCAGUAACGGAUCAAUCAUCAGCGUCAUUGACGUUUCAUUUGUAAGCACAUCUGCUCCUAAUAAC